This 879-nucleotide ribosomal RNA is filed under the name Irpex sp. RNAcentral's name for it is "partial large subunit ribosomal RNA". It matches the Rfam family "Eukaryotic large subunit ribosomal RNA", at positions 77 to 965 of the family's 3401-position model. The record is from RNAcentral. Lineage: Eukaryota; Fungi; Basidiomycota; Agaricomycetes; Polyporales; Irpicaceae.
CCCCUAGUAACUGCGAGUGAAGCGGGAAAAGCUCAAAUUUAAAAUCUGGCGGCUUUGGUCGUCCGAGUUGUAUUCUAGAGAAGUGUUUUCCGCGUUGGACCGUGUAUAAGUCUCUUGGAACAGAGCGUCAUAGAGGGUGAGAAUCCCGUCUUUGACACGGACUACCAAUGCUUUGUGAUACACUCUCAAAGAGUCGAGUUGUUUGGGAAUGCAGCUCAAAAUGGGUGGUAAAUUCCAUCUAAAGCUAAAUAUUGGCGAGAGACCGAUAGCGAACAAGUACCGUGAGGGAAAGAUGAAAAGCACUUUGGAAAGAGAGUUAAACAGUACGUGAAAUUGCUGAAAGGGAAACGCUUGAAGUCAGUCGCGUUAUCUAGAACUCAACCAGGCUUGCUUGGCGUAUUUUCUAGUUAACGGGCCAGCAUCAGUUUUGACUGCAGGAAAAAGGCCAGGGAAAUGUGGCACCUUCGGGUGUGUUAUAGUCUCUGGUCAUAUACUGUGAUUGGGACUGAGGACCGCAGCACGCGCAAGUUGUGCUUAGGAUGCUGGCGUAAUGGCUUUAAACGACCCGUCUUGAAACACGGACCAAGGAGUCUAACAAACCUGCGAGUAUUUGGGUGGUAAACCCGAGUGCGUAAUGAAAGUGAAAGUUGGGAUCCCUGUCGUGGGGAGCACUGACGCCCGGACCAGACCUUCUGUGACGGAUCUGCGGUAGAGCAUGUUUGUUGGGACCCGAAAGAUGGUGAACUAUGCCUGAAUAGGGUGAAGCCAGAGGAAACUCUGGUGGAGGCUCGUAGCGAUUCUGACGUGCAAAUCGAUCGUCAAAUUUGGGUAUAGGGGCGAAAGACUAAUCGAACCAUCUAGUAGCUGGUUCCUGCCGAU